CCCUUCCAGAGGGGGACAACAGUUGGAAACGACUGCUAAUACCGCAUACGAUCUAAUCUCGGCAUCGAGGAUAGAUGAAAGGUGGCCUCUACAUGUAAGCUAUCACUGAAGGAGGGGAUUGCGUCUGAUUAGCUAGUUGGAGGGGUAACGGCCCACCAAGGCGAUGAUCAGUAGCCGGUCUGAGAGGAUGAACGGCCACAUUGGGACUGAGACACGGCCCAG
RNAcentral lists this ribosomal RNA (222 nucleotides) under uncultured bacterium. RNAcentral describes it as "partial 16S ribosomal RNA". It matches the Rfam family "Bacterial small subunit ribosomal RNA", at positions 128 to 334 of the family's 1533-position model. The record is from RNAcentral.